AGAAGCAGCAAACCGAGCAUCAGGUGCCUGCUGGGCAGUGGGAUUGGAGGACUCAUUAACAUACGAUGUUGCUUCGGAACGUGUAAGGACCGCCAGCAGUAGUAACCAGUUCCAUAAACGAAAAGCCAUAAACAUUGCAGGACCCAUGCCUGUGCGACUCUGACUUCGCACCUGGGUCCUGAUGUAUGCCACGCCUCUGCGGCACAGGUGAGUUUCCAGCUGCACUAUCUGACCGAGAGGCAAUCUAUUUGCAAUCCAGAAGUCAUUUCCAAAGAGGUCCGGUGCGAUGACUCUGCAGGAAAUGGGUUGAAAGUGGAAGAUAGAUGUAACCCACAUCCACCAUGAAAAUCCAGAUGCCUGGAUGGACUUCCAAAGUUGUCUUGCAUAGCAGGACUGUUCAAAUGGCAGGCUUUGCAUCUGAAUGGUUUCUGGAACUAAACCAUCCUACCAGGCAAGAACCUAGAAUGAGGCACUUCAGCAAGUUGACACUUCAGGGAGGCCAAAGUCCUGUACUGCCUGUGUCCCUUCAAUCCCAGAUUUUAGAGUCAACUAUUAAACAUCUGUACUUCAGCAAA
Mus musculus (house mouse) is the source of this 575-nucleotide long non-coding RNA. RefSeq annotates it as predicted gene, 35801. The record is from RefSeq and is marked validated. The transcript is spliced from 3 exons. NCBI's taxonomy places the organism in Eukaryota, Metazoa, Chordata, Mammalia, Rodentia, Muridae.